This 21-nucleotide ribosomal RNA is filed under the name Gibellula gamsii. RNAcentral's name for it is "partial 28S ribosomal RNA". Lineage: Eukaryota; Fungi; Ascomycota; Sordariomycetes; Hypocreales; Cordycipitaceae. The record is from RNAcentral.
GACCUCGGAUCAGGUAGGACC